Long non-coding RNA from Parus major (Great Tit), 1160 nucleotides. RefSeq lists it as uncharacterized. Lineage: Eukaryota; Metazoa; Chordata; Aves; Passeriformes; Paridae. The transcript has 3 exons. The record is from RefSeq and is a predicted model, not a curated record.
AUUCCACCUUGUCUGGUCACUCCAUGCCCCCUCUCCAUCUUUCUUGUAGGCUCCUCUCAGACCCUGGAAGGCCACAGUAAGCAAGGCACAGAGAGCAGAUGCCGUCUGCUUUGACGUUUACAACCCAGCAAAGGAGGUGCCAAAAGCCCAGCGAGGGAGCUGCUCACACAGGGAUGCAGUGGCAGCACCUGUGGCAGCAGCACUGGUCCAGGACUGAGUGUCCCAGCAUCUGUCCUGGGGCUCCUGCCAGCCCAGACUUUUCAGCCUCCCUCUGCCUAAGGAGCCGUGUGUGACCGUGCACAGCCCGUGCCUUGUGGGGAUGACGCGCCUGGGAGCCAGCGAGUGUCUGCCACGGGCUGUUGGUACAGGAUUGCUGGUGGAUCCUGCUGGUGGAUCCUGCUGAUGGAUCCCAUGCUUCUCUAUCCAGACUGUGCUACAGCUCCACCUUACAUUCAGACCUGCCAAUACAAUUACUGGGGGACAAACUGAUGUGGGCAGAGGGAAAAUCUCUUGUGAUCUGGUGACAGCACGUGCUGAAGUUGUGCUGCUGCUUGAGUAGGCUGUGAUGGUCUCUGGAAUGUCAGGGGUGCUGCUGUUGUGGUGUCUUAAGAGAGCUCUUGAUUGAUUUGGUUGAACCUCCUGAUGCAGCAGAAAGGUCUGAAAUGCUCUCCUGAGAGCAGAGAUGCCAAGUUUAUUCAUUUUCUGAUCAGAACUCCUCACUGCUGUGGUUCUGCUUUAGUUAUCCUGAAUCUUGGUGCCAUGUGUUAGUUUCUGAGUUUGUGCUGCUCAAGAGAAGAGCCCAGCACUUCCCUGUAGGUUCUCACUUAAUUCAGGUAUCAUCAGACUAUAACAGAUCACUCUCAGGUAUUAAAGUGGCUCCAAGGCCAAGGUUAAGCUCCUUGUGGAUGCCAGAAGAGUCCAUGGACACCUUCUGAGCAAAUCUCAGACCAGAGAUGAUCUCUGUAGACCCUUUCAAUCUCAUUUAAAAGAAUGUUGUGACUAUUUGGACAGAGGAGUCCCUGCCCACCCUUCUCCUGUGCGUGUGAUGCUUUCAUGAAGCUCAUUCCAGCUUGCUGCAUUUUGGGUUUCUGGGUCAGGAGCAGAAAAGGUCCCAGAUCCUCCACCAAAGCCCCCUCAUUUCUUCUGCACAGAUCUUCUUU